UACGUAGGGGGCUAGCGUUGUCCGGAAUCAUUGGGCGUAAAGAGCGUGUAGGCGGCCCGGUAAGUCCGCUGUGAAAGUCGGGGGCUCAACCCUCGAAUGCCGGUGGAUACUGUCGGGCUAGAGUGCGGAAGAGGAGAAUGGAAUUCCUGGUGUAGCGGUGAAAUGCGCAGAUAUCAGGAGGAACACCAAUUGCGAAGGCAGCUCGCUGGGACGUAACUGACGCUGAGACGCGAAAGCGUGGGGAGCAAACAGG
Molecule: ribosomal RNA, 253 nt
Filed under: uncultured bacterium
Lineage: Bacteria
Description: partial 16S ribosomal RNA
Rfam family: Bacterial small subunit ribosomal RNA
Source: RNAcentral